RNAcentral lists this ribosomal RNA (703 nucleotides) under Bacillus sp. CSR-B-4. RNAcentral describes it as "bacterial SSU rRNA". It matches the Rfam family "Bacterial small subunit ribosomal RNA", at positions 47 to 752 of the family's 1533-position model. Lineage: Bacteria; Bacillati; Bacillota; Bacilli; Caryophanales; Bacillaceae. The record is from RNAcentral.
CCUAAUCAUGCAGUCGAGCGGACAGAAGGGAGCUUGCUCCCGGACGUUAGCGGCGGACGGGUGAGUAACACGUAGGUAACCUGCCCCUUAGACUGGGAUAACUCCGGGAAACCGGAGCUAAUACGGGAUAAUAAAGAGAAUCACCUGAUUCUCUUUUGAAAGACGGCUUCUACUUGUCCCUAAGGAAGGGGCCGGCGGCGCAUUACCUAUUUGGUAAGGUAACGGCUUACCAGGGCAACAAUGCUUACCCAACCUGAAAGGGGGACCGGCCACCCGGGAACGGAAACCCGGCCCAAACCCCUACGGAAGGCACCAUUAGGGAACCUUCCCCAUGGGACAAAAUUCGGACGAACCACCCCCCCGGGAUUGAGGAAGGCCUUCGGUCCGAAAAGCUCGGUUGGGAGGAAAAAACAAUUACCGGGUUAACUACCGGUACUUUGACGUUACCUCACCAGAAACCCCGCCUACCUACUGCCAGCAGCGCGGAAUACGUAGGUGGCAAGCGUUGUCCGGAUUAUUGGGCGUAAAGCCGCGCGCAGGCGGCUUCUUAAGUCUGAUGUGAAAUCUCGGGGCUCAACCCCGAACGGCCAUUGGAAACUGGGAAGCUUGAAUGCAGAGAGAAUUGCAAUUCCACGUGUACCGUGAAUGCGUAGAUAUGUGAGACGCAAUGGCGAGCUACUCUCUGUCGGUACUGACCUGAGGC